AACGCUGGCGGCGUGCCUAAUACAUGCAAGUCGAACGAACUCUGGUAUUGAUUGGUGCUUGCAUCAUGAUUUACAUUUGAGUGAGUGGCGAACUGGUGAGUAACACGUGGGAAACCUGCCCAGAAGCGGGGGAUAACACCUGGAAACAGAUGCUAAUACCGCAUAACAACUUGGACCGCAUGGUCCGAGCUUGAAAGAUGGCUUCGGCUAUCACUUUUGGAUGGUCCCGCGGCGUAUUAGCUAGAUGGUGGGGUAACGGCUCACCAUGGCAAUGAUACGUAGCCGACCUGAGAGGGUAAUCGGCCACAUUGGGACUGAGACACGGCCCAAACUCCUACGGGAGGCAGCAGUAGGGAAUCUUCCACAAUGGACGAAAGUCUGAUGGAGCAACGCCGCGUGAGUGAAGAAGGGUUUCGGCUCGUAAAACUCUGUUGUUAAAGAAGAACAUAUCUGAGAGUAACUGUUCAGGUAUUGACGGUAUUUAACCAGAAAGCCACGGCUAACUACGUGCCAGCAGCCGCGGUAAUACGUAGGUGGCAAGCGUUGUCCGGAUUUAUUGGGCGUAAAGCGAGCGCAGGCGGUUUUUUAAGUCUGAUGUGAAAGCCUUCGGCUCAACCGAAGAAGUGCAUCGGAAACUGGGAAACUUGAGUGCAGAAGAGGACAGUGGAACUCCAUGUGUAGCGGUGAAAUGCGUAGAUAUAUGGAAGAACACCAGUGGCGAAGGCGGCUGUCUGGUCUGUAACUGACGCUGAGGCUCGAAAGUAUGGGUAGCAAACAGGAUUAGAUACCCUGGUAGUCCAUACCGUAAACGAUGAAUGCUAAGUGUUGGAGGGUUUCCGCCCUUCAGUGCUGCAGCUAACGCAUUAAGCAUUCCGCCUGGGGAGUACGGCCGCAAGGCUGAAACUCAAAGGAAUUGACGGGGGCCCGCACAAGCGGUGGAGCAUGUGGUUUAAUUCGAAGCUACGCGAAGAACCUUACCAGGUCUUGACAUACUAUGCAAAUCUAAGAGAUUAGACGUUCCCUUCGGGGACAUGGAUACAGGUGGUGCAUGGUUGUCGUCAGCUCGUGUCGUGAGAUGUUGGGUUAAGUCCCGCAACGAGCGCAACCCUUAUUAUCAGUUGCCAGCAUUAAGUUGGGCACUCUGGUGAGACUGCCGGUGACAAACCGGAGGAAGGUGGGGAUGACGUCAAAUCAUCAUGCCCCUUAUGACCUGGGCUACACACGUGCUACAAUGGAUGGUACAACGAGUUGCGAACUCGCGAGAGUAAGCUAAUCUCUUAAAGCCAUUCUCAGUUCGGAUUGUAGGCUGCAACUCGCCUACAUGAAGUCGGAAUCGCUAGUAAUCGCGGAUCAGCAUGCCGCGGUGAAUACGUUCCCGGGCCUUGUACACACCGCCCGUCACACCAUGAGAGUUUGUAACACCCAAAGUCGGUGGGGUAACCUUUUAGGAACCAGCCGC
This 1459-nucleotide ribosomal RNA is filed under the name Lactiplantibacillus plantarum. RNAcentral's name for it is "bacterial SSU rRNA". It matches the Rfam family "Bacterial small subunit ribosomal RNA". Lineage: Bacteria; Bacillati; Bacillota; Bacilli; Lactobacillales; Lactobacillaceae. The record is from RNAcentral.